AGAGUUCGAUCCUGGCUCAGGAUGAACGCUGGCGGCGUGCUUAACACAUGCAAGUCGAACGGAGUUUACUUAACAGAUUCCUUCGGGAUGACGUUUUUUAAACUUAGUGGCGGACGGGUGAGUAACGCGUGGGUAACCUGCCUUACACAGGGGGAUAGCAGUUGGAAACGACUGGUAAUACCGCAUACCUUACAUUAUUCGCAUGUUUGAUGUAAGAAAGAUUUAUCGGUGUAAGAUGGACCCGCGUCUGAUUAGCUAGUUGGUGUGGUAACGGCAUACCAAGGCGACGAUCAGUAGCCGGCCUGAGAGGGUGAACGGCCACAUUGGGACUGAGAUACGGCCCAGACUCCUACGGGAGGCAGCAGUGGGGAAUAUUGCACAAUGGAGGCAACUCUGAUGCAGCGACGCCGCGUGAGUGAAGAAGUAUUUCGGUAUGUAAAGCUCUAUCAGUAGGGAAGAUAAUGACGGUACCUACAGAAGAAGCCCCGGCUAAAUACGUGCCAGCAGCCGCGGUAAUACGUAUGGGGCAAGCGUUAUCCGGAUUUACUGGGUGUAAAGGGAGUGUAGGCGGCAGUACAAGUCAGGAGUGAAAACUUGGGGCUCAACCCCAAGACUGCUUUUGAAACUGUACAGCUAGAGUGUAGGAAGGGCAAGCGGAAUUCCUGGUGUAGCGGUGAAAUGCGUAGAUAUCAGGAAGAACACCGGUGGCGAAGGCGGCUUGCUGGACUAUAACUGACGCUGAGACUCGAAAGCGUGGGGAGCGAACAGGAUUAGAUACCCUGGUAGUCCACGCUGUAAACGAUGAAUACUAGGUGUUGGGUCUCGAUAGAGAUUCGGUGCCGAAGCAAACGCAUUAAGUAUUCCACCUGGGGAGUACGUUCGCAAGAAUGAAACUCAAAGGAAUUGACGGGGACCCGCACAAGCGGUGGAGCAUGU
This 936-nucleotide ribosomal RNA is filed under the name human gut metagenome. RNAcentral describes it as "bacterial SSU rRNA". It matches the Rfam family "Bacterial small subunit ribosomal RNA", at positions 8 to 942 of the family's 1533-position model. The record is from RNAcentral.